This 483-nucleotide ribosomal RNA is filed under the name uncultured bacterium. RNAcentral's name for it is "partial 16S ribosomal RNA". It matches the Rfam family "Bacterial small subunit ribosomal RNA", at positions 29 to 523 of the family's 1533-position model. The record is from RNAcentral.
AGUGAACGCUGGCGGCGUGCUUAACACUGCAAGUCGAACGAGAACGGAUUAUAGCUUGCUAUAAUUGUCAGCUAAGUGGCGCACGGGUGAGUAAUGUAUAGGUAAUAUGCCUCUUACUAAGGGAUAACAAAUGGAAACGUUUGCUAAUACCUUAUACUCCUUAUUAACAUAAGUUAAUAAGGGAAAGAUUUAUUGGUAAGAGAUUAGCCUGUAUUGUAUCAGUUAGUUGGUGGGGUAAUGGCUUACCAAGACUAUGACACAUAACUGGUUUGAGAGGAUGAUCAGUCACACUGGAACUGAGACACGGUCCAGACUCCUACGGGAGGCAGCAGUGGGGAAUAUUGCACAAUGGACGGAAGUCUGAUGCAGCAACGCCGCGUGGAGGAUGACACAUUUCGGUGCGUAAACUCCUUUUAUAUGAGAAGAUAAUGACGGUAUUAUAUGAAUAAGCACCGGCUAACUCCGUGCCAGCCGCCGCGGUAA